Molecule: ribosomal RNA, 242 nt
Filed under: uncultured bacterium
Lineage: Bacteria
Description: partial 16S ribosomal RNA
Rfam family: Bacterial small subunit ribosomal RNA
Source: RNAcentral
UGCGAAGCGAAGCAGCGAUGUGAAGCAAAUCGCACCAAAGCCGGUCCCAGUUCGGAUAAGAGGCUGAAACUCGCCUCUUUGAAGUCGGAAUCGCUAGUAAUCGCAGAUCAGCAUGUUGCGGUGAAUACGUUUCCUGGUCUUGUACACACCGCCCGUCAAACCAUGAGAGUCGCCAACACCCGAAGUCCGCUUUGCGGCCUAAGGUGGGGGAGAUGAUUGGGGUUAAGUCGUAACAAGGUAUC